GCCUCGAUGGUGUAAUGGUAGAGCCCGCAUCCCCGGGUACGAUGAAACGCGGGUUCGAUUCCUGCCUGAGGCA
Non-coding RNA from Parelaphostrongylus tenuis, 73 nucleotides. The record is from the annotation of a GenBank genome assembly. Lineage: Eukaryota; Metazoa; Nematoda; Chromadorea; Rhabditida; Metastrongylidae.